This 88-nucleotide non-coding RNA is filed under the name marine eukaryotic metagenome. Its description in RNAcentral is "Glycine riboswitch". It matches the Rfam family "Glycine riboswitch aptamer", at positions 10 to 85 of the family's 94-position model. From Rfam's summary of the family: This family represents the bacterial glycine riboswitch. Glycine riboswitches usually consist of two metabolite-binding aptamers domains with similar structures in tandem. The record is from RNAcentral.
CGAGCGGGAGAGUGCGGUGGCCCACGCCAGGGUCACAGCCGCCGAAGGAGCAAUAGCCCCGACAAACUCUCAGGCGCCGGUACCGCCC